Non-coding RNA from Monodelphis domestica (gray short-tailed opossum), 422 nucleotides. The record is from RefSeq and is a predicted model, not a curated record. Lineage: Eukaryota; Metazoa; Chordata; Mammalia; Didelphimorphia; Didelphidae.
UUCCUGUGAGGGACAGUUCUUCAUUCUUUGGAAGUGGAGAUUGGAGACAAUUCUUCAUUCUUUGGAGUGAAGGCUGGACCCGAGACCCUGUUCUUGAAGCUAGAGAAGAGACUACAACAUUUGUGGAACAGUUGAGCAAAGACUUGUGGACAUGAAUACUAAGAUCUCAAUGACUCAAAACGUGGUUUUAUGAUUAUUCGCUUGCAAAAAUGAACGACAUGGAAAUGGAUUGUGUGAUAAUACAGUACAACCCAAACUGAAUUGCUUGCCAACUUCUGGAAGGAGACUUUGAAGGGAAAGAGACAAUUUGUAUUAUAUAACUUCAGAAAACUCAUGUGGAAAUUUGUUACUACAUGUAAUUGGUAAAAUAAAAUAAAGGCAAUCCAAACUGAAAAAAAUAAUCCCGAAGUCACAAAGAUAAA